GACGUAGGGUGCAAGCGUUGUCCGGAUUUACUGGGCGUAAAGAGCGCGUAGGCGGUCUGUUAAGUGUGGUGUGAAAUCUCCAGGGCUCAACCCGGAAACUGCACCGCAUACUGGCAGACUGGAGGAAUGCAGAGGUGAGUGGAAUUCCUGGUGUACCGGUGAAAUGGGUAGAUAUCAGGAGGAACACCAAUAGCGAAGGCAGCUCGCUGGGACGGUACUGACGCUAAGGCGCGAAAGCGUGGGGAGCGAACAGG
Molecule: ribosomal RNA, 254 nt
Filed under: uncultured bacterium
Lineage: Bacteria
Description: partial 16S ribosomal RNA
Rfam family: Bacterial small subunit ribosomal RNA
Source: RNAcentral